This is a long non-coding RNA of Anneissia japonica, 1189 nucleotides long. RefSeq lists it as uncharacterized. The transcript has 3 exons. The record is from RefSeq and is a predicted model, not a curated record. NCBI's taxonomy places the organism in Eukaryota, Metazoa, Echinodermata, Crinoidea, Comatulida, Comatulidae.
AUGCUUUUUAUGUGAGAAUGUUGGGUUGAUUAACUUGUUCUAUAUUGAUUGGCUGACUAUUCCAAUUAUUAAUUGCUGCAUAUAAAAAAGAAAGCUUAACAAAACUUUUUACCCUAGGAAAAACCAUUGAGUUUCUGACUUUAGUACCAUAACUAUGUUGAUUAUUAGUACUCUGGACUUGGUCAAAUAAAUAUGCUUGAGCACUUGAGCUGUGCCAUUAUUUAUAUUCAAGUAUUUGAUUUAAGCUAUUCGACUCUAACUUCCAUUAGACGCGUAUCAGCCUCCUUAUUUACUAACACCAAUAUGGAUUCUUGACGAAAUAUCUAUAAUAAACUGAAUAAUUUUAAUUUUAAAAAUCUGCAAUUUAUUCUUUUUUGUGUGUUUUACUAAGACCACUGUACAAUGAGCACACCAUACAUAAAAUUUCCUUGGGUCAGUGCAGAAAGUAUUAAGGCCAGGUCACACCUACACCGAUAACGAUACCGAUAUGAUAAAAAUUAUCGGUGUGGUGUAAAUUAAUGGAAGUGGUCACACUAUAACGAUAACGAUACGAUUAUCGUGAGCGAUAAAGUUAUCGUAUCGGUCGAAUCACUUUUGAAGCGAUUUUUUUUAUAGUUAUCGGCAACGAUAAACGUAUCAGCCAAUCAGAUGAGGGUAGUCAGGGAAGAUGAAAGUACUGUAGUCAACUUUCACACACACUACCGGUUGACCGAACUCGCGACGCGUGGACGAUCAAACUGAGCGCCUGAUGGAAGUUCAGACACUAUCUUGUAUAAUAAAUCAAAUGCUGAUUGUAAAAGUGUUAACCAAAAAAGAGACGUUUGGCAAGAAAUUUGCCGCAGAGUUGGAAUGAGUGGAGACUUAGCCCGAAAAAUGGGCAAACGUAUGGGAUACUUUCAACAGCUGCAGAAAGACGGCUUCCUCAAGGAGUUGCGAUGCUGCCAAAGUAAUAAAACAAUAUAGAUUUGCAGGAAUUUUGACAUUUCUUACGCCGUACUUACAACAUAAGGAGACUUCAAGUACCCUCGAUGUAGAACUAGCCAACACUGAAAUAAGUGACGAGGAAACUUACGACAGCAUUGUAGACAACAUAACAGAAGAAAGCUUUCGCUUUGAUUAUAAUGAUGAUGAUUACCACCAAUCGCAACAGCCCCAUGAGCAGCAACAACAACCACCACAGCUGAUGCAA